Molecule: ribosomal RNA, 517 nt
Filed under: Doratosepion peterseni
Lineage: Eukaryota; Metazoa; Mollusca; Cephalopoda; Sepiida; Sepiidae
Description: partial 16S rRNA
Rfam family: Bacterial large subunit ribosomal RNA
Source: RNAcentral
GUCUCUUUGUAGGAAAAUUAAAUAAAGAGUUGGGCCUGCUCAGUGAAUAUAAUUUUUAACAGCUGCGGUAUUUUAACUGUACUAAGGUAGCAUAAUAAUUUGCCUUAUAAAUUGAGGCUAGAAUGAAAGGUUUGACGAAGGUUUAACUGUCUCUUUCUUAUUUAUUAGAAUUUAAUUUUUUAGUGAAAAAGCUUAAAUGUUUUAAAGGGACGAGAAGACCCUAUUGAGCUUUAAAUUUGGAAAUAUUAUAUUUAUUAAAUAUAAUGNUUGAAAAAUUUUAAUUGGGGUGAUUAAGGAAUAAAAGAAAUAAAUAUAUUAAAAUUUAACUUCCUUAAAUAAUAUAUUGUUAAAUAAAGUAACCAAUAAUAUUGCUUAUAUAAAGUUACCAUAGGGAUAACAGCGUAAUUUAUUUAGAGAGUUCUUAUUGAAAAAUAAGAUUGCGACCUCGAUGUUGGAUUAAAGUGACCUUAAGGUGCAGAAGCUUUAAUAGGUAAAUCUGUUCGAUUUUUAAAACUUU